This 330-nucleotide ribosomal RNA is filed under the name uncultured eukaryote. RNAcentral describes it as "partial 18S ribosomal RNA". It matches the Rfam family "Eukaryotic small subunit ribosomal RNA", at positions 1469 to 1796 of the family's 1831-position model. The record is from RNAcentral.
ACCCUUAGAUGUCCUGGGCCGCACGCGCGCUACACUGAGUGUCUGAGAUACGAGUCUGCCUGGUCCGGCAAGGUCUAGGUAAUCGCUAAAAGACACAUCAUGCUUGGGAUAGAUUAUUGCAAAUAUUAAUCUUGAACGAGGAAUUCCUAGUAAGCGCAAGUCAACAGCUUGCGUUGAUUACGUCCCUGCCCUUUGUACACACCGCCCGUCGCUACUACUGAUUGGAUGUUUAAGCGAGGUUCCCGAACUGCUAGCGACUUAGCUUCGGUGAGGUCGCAGUGUGGGAAGUGAACCUAGCUUUGGUGUCUAGAGGAAGUAAAAGUCGUAACA